This is a long non-coding RNA of Mustela lutreola (European mink), 831 nucleotides long. RefSeq lists it as uncharacterized. Lineage: Eukaryota; Metazoa; Chordata; Mammalia; Carnivora; Mustelidae. The record is from RefSeq and is a predicted model, not a curated record. The transcript has 3 exons.
CCUACAAGGAGGGUGGGGUGGGGUGGGGGGGUGUCUGUGAGGACCUCACUGCAGCCAACAGCCCAGGACAGUAGCCACCGGUCAUUCGGAUGGUCUACCUCUGGAUCCAAGCUGAGUUCAGAAUAUUGUUUCGAGUUUUAAAGCCGUGAGGUUUUAUUUAACAGGUACAGAUGCUAUGGAGUCAGAAAAACCAUGCAAAUGACAGAGGCCAUGACCAAACCUCAGCGGAAGCACCCUGUCCAGCGCAGAGAAGACGUACAAGGACAGGACUGAAAAAUUGAGCUCCCAUCUCUGCUUGCUGUUCAUCUAACCACAAUACACCACUGCCCACCAGCAAGGUCCAGCCUGCCAGCCAAGCUGAGGAUAAAUACGCAGCAGACACAUUCUGCCCGAGGUGCUUAUCACACAGUAUCACUGCUGCAAGAUCAGGACAUUCCAGAGGCUCCCGCAAUGUGGCAAACAGAACUGACCAGCCUGAGACCAAAGGUCUAAGUAUGAAUCAGAAGCAAACCAACAGGGUUUUGUUGCUCCAAGGCCCCCAACACACCAAACAUCUCUCCAGCCCUUCCUAUUUUCAGAAUAGCGGAACAGAUCGAGGAGAAGGAGGAAUCUUCUGGAAAGGCUCAAGGGAGGUCAGGACACUGCAGAGGCGGACCAGACCAAUAGCCGUGCGGCUGGCUGUCCACGUCCGUACCUAGCACACGCUCUCCGAGGCCGCCGAGCUCCAGGUAGGCGUUCUGGAAGGCAUCCUUCAGCUCCUCAUCCAGGGGCUGCUCUUUGCCGUGCAGGAGGAUGGAGCUGCAGCGGUCCAAGAUCCUUUCCGGGGCACCC